UGCUUGUUUGGUGAAAUGGUAAACACGAAAGACUUAAAAUCUUUUAUCUUAUGGAUUUAUUGGUUCAAGUCCAAUAACAAGUAA
RNAcentral lists this transfer RNA (84 nucleotides) under Guillardia theta. Its description in RNAcentral is "tRNA-Leu". It matches the Rfam family "tRNA". Rfam says of the family: Transfer RNA (tRNA) molecules are approximately 80 nucleotides in length. The record is from RNAcentral. Lineage: Eukaryota; Cryptophyceae; Pyrenomonadales; Geminigeraceae.